CCUACGGGUGGCAGCAGUGGGGAAUAUUGGACAAUGGGCGAAAGCCUGAUCCAGCCAUGCCGCGUGUGUGAAGAAGGCCUUCGGGUUGUAAAGCACUUUCAGUGGGGAAGAAAGCCUUGGGGCUAAUACCCUCGAGGAAGGACAUCACCCACAGAAGAAGCACCGGCUAACUCCGUGCCAAGCAGCCGCGGUAAUACGGAGGGUGCGAGCGUUAAUCGGAAUUACUGGGCGUAAAGCGCGCGUAGGCGGUCUGAUAAGCCGGUUGUGAAAGCCCCGGGCUCAACCUGGGAACGGCAUCCGGAACUGUCAGGCUAGAGUGCAGGAGAGGAAGGUAGAAUUCCCGGUGUAGCGGUGAAAUGCGUAGAGAUCGGGAGGAAUACCAGUGGCGAAGGCGGCCUUCUGGACUGACACUGACGCUGAGGUGCGAAAGCGUGGGUAGCAAACAGGAUUAGAUACCCUGGUAGUC
Molecule: ribosomal RNA, 466 nt
Filed under: Vreelandella stevensii
Lineage: Bacteria; Pseudomonadati; Pseudomonadota; Gammaproteobacteria; Oceanospirillales; Halomonadaceae
Description: partial 16S ribosomal RNA
Rfam family: Bacterial small subunit ribosomal RNA
Source: RNAcentral